AGAGUUUGAUCAUGGCUCAGGACGAACGCUGGCGGCGUGCUUAACACAUGCAAGUCGAACGGGAAGGCCCUUCGGGGUGCUCGAGUGGCGAACGGGUGAGUAACACGUGGGUGAUCUGCCCUGCACUUUGGGAUAAGCCUGGGAAACUGGGUCUAAUACCGAAUAGGACUGCGCUCUUCAUGGGGUGUGGUGGAAAGCUUUUGCGGUGUGGGAUGGGCCCGCGGCCUAUCAGCUUGUUGGUGGGGUAAUGGCCUACCAAGGCGACGACGGGUAGCCGGCCUGAGAGGGUGACCGGCCACACUGGGACUGAGAUACGGCCCAGACUCCUACGGGAGGCAGCAGUGGGGAAUAUUGCACAAUGGGCGCAAGCCUGAUGCAGCGACGCCGCGUGAGGGAUGACGGCCUUCGGGUUGUAAACCUCUUUCAGCACAGACGAAGCGCAAGUGACGGUAUGUGCAGAAGAAGGACCGGCCAACUACGUGCCAGCAGCCGCGGUAAUACGUAGGGUCCGAGCGUUGUCCGGAAUUACUGGGCGUAAAGAGCUCGUAGGUGGUUUGUCGCGUUGUUCGUGAAAACUCACAGCUUAACUGUGGGCGUGCGGGCGAUACGGGCAGACUUGAGUACUGCAGGGGAGACUGGAAUUCCUGGUGUAGCGGUGGAAUGCGCAGAUAUCAGGAGGAACACCGGUGGCGAAGGCGGGUCUCUGGGCAGUAACUGACGCUGAGGAGCGAAAGCGUGGGGAGCGAACAGGAUUAGAUACCCCGGUAGUCC
RNAcentral lists this ribosomal RNA (771 nucleotides) under uncultured bacterium. Its description in RNAcentral is "bacterial SSU rRNA". It matches the Rfam family "Bacterial small subunit ribosomal RNA", at positions 8 to 796 of the family's 1533-position model. The record is from RNAcentral.